GAUGAACGCUGGCGGCGUGCCUAAUACAUGCAAGUCGAGCGAACGGACGAGAAGCUUGCUUCUCUGAUGUUAGCGGCGGACGGGUGAGUAACACGUGGAUAACCUACCUAUAAGACUGGGAUAACUUCGGGAAACCGGAGCUAAUACCGGAUAAUAUUUUGAACCGCAUGGUUCAAAAGUGAAAGACGGUCUUGCUGUCACUUAUAGAUGGAUCCGCGCUGCAUUAGCUAGUUGGUAAGGUAACGGCUUACCAAGGCAACGAUGCAUAGCCGACCUGAGAGGGUGAACCGCCACACUGGAACUGAGGCACGGUCCAGACUCCUACGGGGGGCAGCAGUAGGGAAUCUUACGCGAGGGGCGAAAGGCUGACGGAGGAACGGCGGGGGAGUGAUGAAGGGCUUCGGAUCGUAAAACUCUGUUAUUAGGGAAGAACAUAUGUGUAAGUAACUGUGCACAUCUUGACGGUACCUAAUCAGAAAGCCACGGCUAACUACGUG
Molecule: ribosomal RNA, 497 nt
Filed under: uncultured bacterium
Lineage: Bacteria
Description: partial 16S ribosomal RNA
Rfam family: Bacterial small subunit ribosomal RNA
Source: RNAcentral